Folsomia candida is the source of this 9158-nucleotide long non-coding RNA. RefSeq lists it as uncharacterized. NCBI's taxonomy places the organism in Eukaryota, Metazoa, Arthropoda, Collembola, Entomobryomorpha, Isotomidae. The record is from RefSeq and is a predicted model, not a curated record. The transcript is spliced from 7 exons.
CUGUUCUCAAAUCACUCUGCAUCAGGCAGUGGACUUGGAAGGAAGCAUUAAGAAUUCAUCUCAGCAUCUCACGAAAAUCAUCCCACUCAUUUUGGAAAAUCGGUCCUCUUCAUUUCCACAUCAUCUUAUAAUCAUCCAAGUUAAAGGAAGAAUUUCGAAAUCGUGGUGGCAGAGAAGGAGGAGCAGCGGAUCCAGUGGCAGUUCUUUCCUUUCUUACUCGGCGGACGGAGACGGAUGCCUUGUUUCUUCUAUUGAAUCAGGUUGGUAAUUGCCUUGAUUGAAAAGAGGGAGGGAAGUAUUACAAAGGGUCGGGUUAGAAUUACUGAGGCCAGAAAGCUUUGUGGGCUGUAGCUCUGCGAAGUGGUCAAGUGUCGCAAAUAUUUCUUUGAAAGGAAUCUUCCUCACUCAUUGAUGAGAUAGCUUGCUUGACAUUGCUCGUAUCACAGUCCUCCAUUAACGGCACCAUUGAAAUUCUACAAGUCGGGCUCACCUAGUCACAUAAAUACAGAUCCAACGCAGGAGCAGAAUACGGCAGAGCUGUUGAAAUGGAUAUCGGACGUAACAAUCAAACGUAGACAAAUCAGGAGAACGACUCGUUGUAUCUUCCUGCCGAAUAAGAAAUGGGCUGGCUGCCGCUGAUCCCUCUCCUUGGGAGGCCAGGUCGAAGCGGUCACAAGUUGAAAAGUCAUCUGCAGGAUAGCCGUCUGAAACCCUACUCCAGUCCAACCUCAUGAAAUUCCUAGAGAGUUCAAAAUGGUCAGUAGCAGUCCCAUCAAAUACGAGACGAAAUGCCGGACUCUGAACGACGGGUUGCGGUAUCGGUAUCGUAAGACGAUUUCUAAUCGUUCGUUCUUAAGCAUUUAUAAAAAGGCAUCAUCACACAACAUGCCAUGCUGUUGUUUCCCUCGUAUGUUUAACUAAGGUACAAAGCAAACGAAAGAACGGUUAUCUAUGGGUUUCUUCCACUCGAAUUCAGUCCACUUGGCGCAGAGAAUGGUCGCGCAAUAGUGCAGAGAAUUAUUGGAAAUUGGAAUAUAUAUAUUGGUCCAUCAUCUUGGAAAAACAUGAAAAUUUGGUGGUUUAGGCGGAAAUUCACUGUAUCCGCGGACGUAAAAUCAAGGUUUGGUAAAUGAAGCAUAUCCUGUAAAUAUUAUUAUAAUAUGGUAAAUUUUGAAAUGGGAAAAUUAUAUAUCGGGGCGACGGGGGGUUAACUUAACCAUUUGUAGUUUUUGUGCCCUACAGUUCUAUCCUUGGUGGUUUGCUAUAAAGAAAGGUUUUGACCAUGCCAUCGUGGAGCUUGUAAAAAAAAUUAUGGGAGAUAAUUGGAAAGCUACAACUUUAUAUUAAAUUCAACAUUUUAUAUUAUUAAUUUAUAUUAGCUGCAUGAUAUGGUAGGCUACGUGCUAGUCAAUGUUUUUUAUUGUGUUCAAGGACGUGUGAUAUUAGUUGAACGAUGACGCGUGGGGUACGUGCGUUUGCUGGAGGGAAAUUGUAAUUAAAAGGAAGCUAAACGGGUAAAUUAUAACUGCUGUUACCUAUGGUCACUGGAUGGAAUAAGUCUUAGCAAUCGGUAUUUGCUGCUGCACUGCACAGUACUAAAUGUAAUGAAUGGUAACGUAUUUUUCGAUUAAUUCACGGUAUUUAGCAUUUUUGGGUCAAACAUAACUAUGCUUGUGGUGUUCGUUAUUACUUUUGUCGAGAUCACAUUGUGAGGAAUAUCAAGUUGCAUUAACAACUACUCGCGGAGAAGGUAAUAUAUUCUGUCCCUGAUUUGUUGAAGUACACGCAAUCCAGUCCUAAAUAACUAGAAAGCUAAAGCUUAUACAUACACGGCGUAUGAUUACUGUUGGUAAUUUUUUUUACUUCUAUAAUCCUACUACUAAUUCCUACAGGCCUGUGUCACUUGUUUGUAUGUUUUUCUUGCAUUUCUUCAAAAUUACUUUAGGUAUGACCGUCCUACUCUGCAUUUGAUUGGUAUUAAUUACGGGAAGUUCUGCUUGCCUUUUGUGUGUAGCUGGCGAAUCCACAUUAACGUGUUUCUUGGUGGUCUAAACUCCAGUAUGUAUGGUUAUGUAACGUUUAAGUUAGUAAUUAUAUAUUUCACUUAGCCAGUAGCAUUUUACUACUUCUUUUUCUUCUUCUACAUAUAAUUUGUGGUGCACCCUUCGGGGUUAUGUAAACUAAAAAAAUAUUUGUUUGCAAAGUGCGAUUUUAGUAGGUGUGUUCGGAAGAGGGCUGGCCAGAAAUCUUUGGUGAUAUAAAAAUGCUUAUUGUGCUCACGCCAUGUGCCUACCAACCGAGAGAGAGAGAAAAAAAGUAACGGAGAAUGUCCAAAGUCGACAGAGGUGUAAGGUUUAGUUCCAAAUAAUUUAAAUUUCGUCAGAAAAAAACAGUUUGGUUCCAGAGAUAUAUAGAAACAGCAAAGUCGAAGUGCGAUGAGGCGGCGCAGGGAUAAGGAUAAUUCGACGUCCAUCACUCCCAUAAAAGAUGUACAAAAGCUUGGUACCACAGUAAGGUCUCAUAACACAUAUUUUUUGGGGAAAAUAUGUUUUUUCAUAUGUACAGGUAGUCAAAAAAAGACCUAGAUUCAUCAACGUUUGUCCCACACUCACUUUCUCCCUCACACUACUAUUCAGCAUUCCACUUCAUCCAUCACGAGAAGUCGCCCACUCCCACCCCCACAUAUACGUCUAAUGCAAUAUAGUUGCAACUUCACGUGUGAUACAAAUUACGAAUAAUAGUGCAUAGUAUAUCAAUCAUACCAUGUUGUAAGUAAUUUUAAGCAUUGUCGUAUAUAUCAAUUCAUACAUAUAUAAGGUAUAACAUGUCAGAUAUGUGCGUGGUUAGUUUUUUUCUAAAGUUGUUUACUAGCAUAUCGCCUAAGUGAUGAAGUUCUGCCGUGUGCAGUUUAUCUUGUAGCUGUGAUUAACGGUUAAUGUGAUUUUAAAUAAGUGUAAGUUCGAGUUUGAUCUCAUAUAAAACAAUUCAGAUAAAAGAAAAUAUGCAUUUUGUGUCCCAUGUAUAAGAAUAACAGGUUAAAUGAAAUUAUAAUGAUCACCCACAAAAAGUUAAGAGAUGAAACCCAGGUCCACUAAAGGAUGAGCAAGAAAGAAAGAGGAGUUUAGGAGCCACAGAAGUAUCUUCCUUAAAUCUCAGUCAGUCAGUCGUCAAUAGUCCAGCCAACUGCCAAAAAUGUUCAUCGUGUUCAUCAUUUUACUACCACCACCAUAAAAAAGUUCCGGCGAUAAGUAUUCCUGCAGUUUAAAAAAGAAAGGUUAAUUGUAAAUAUUCGACGUGGUUUUUGUGUCAUCUAUUUCAGAAAGUCUUGUAAGUUCAACUGUUGUAAGCUUAAAGUUGGAGGAAGGUAAUCCUAGUCAGUGAAAUCAAUCAAUUAAUGAAGUUGCCGUCUUUUUUCGUGUUUAAUUUCAAGAAGAGCCAGGAAAGUCAAAUCUCUGCGUUGUAAGUGAUGUGGUUUAAAGUUUCACUCGGUUUUAUUCAAUGGUCUUUUUAAUUCCAUUUGAUGCAAAUCAAUGGAAGUUGUUGUUGGAUUUUGUGUUUGGUGUUAAAGUGUAUUAAAGGUUGAUUCCAUUCCGUCCGGCAACACGAUGAUGAGAGCAUUUCCUGUGCUGCAUCGAUCGAUUCCUGUUGAAUUACCUUUGUCUGCGUGCGUUCAGUGAAUGAAGAAUGAUAAGUUAUCUAACCUUAAUUAAGUAUUACAAAAAUUACUAUGCAUUUAGCUCUAAAUGGUAGGAAUGUGGUUAAGCUAAAAAAAAUAUGCUUGUGCGUUUCGUUUGUUUGGUCGUAUAUCUACUAGAUAGAUAAUUCUGUAUAUGCGGGAGAGAUAACAUCGUGCUGUUGCUGUCCCCUGGUCAUAAUGGACGAAUACGAGAAUAAAGCAGCGUCAGCUGAUGAAAAAUAGAAAGAAUAUGAAAAACGUUGUCCGUGUACGUUCCAUUUCAAGAGGGAUUCUCCUCCUCAUCAGAGAAUACGAAGGUCAAGGGCAAUAAGGUCACCCAUUCAUCCAUACAUCCUUCCCCGCACCCCCACUACUUCAUCCAGCAAUCCAGUGUUGGCGAUUCAGUUGCUUCUUAUUCCACGUUGGACGAGGAAAAAAAUUCUCUCGGUUCCUAGUAGCUGCAUUUCAUCUACCCAUUACACCCACCCAGUCAAGUUAUCAGUAUUACUGCAAGGUUAAUCCGUCCCGGUUUCGGCCACUUCACUCUGCUUAUUUCAAUCCCAAUCCACAGAAUCGUUGUACCAGAAUUUUUCACUAUUCAAGUUGGAAAUCUUUAUUUUUGUCAAUAACCAAGAUCCAAAUCCCUACUUAAGCACCAAGACACGGGUCUGCCUUUAUUCAUCAUCCCAUAACCCAUCUUUCGAGUCAUUGUUGGUCACAACGGAGGGGGGUCGUUAGUUUAUUACGCAAACAAACAAAGGGCUACGAAGUAAAAUAUGCCACCCAGGUGCCAUCACGUCUACUUCUUCACUUGGCAAACCUUUCAUCACCACGUCGAUCCCUACGGUACGAGACGAGAUAGACAACUACAAUUUGACAGUCCUGUCCUGACGCAUCACAUAUUAGCGUGAAUCUCUUUGUCCCAACCCAGACCAAAGCUGACGAAUCGUAAGGUAGAACUCAAUUUCUCACUUCUCUAUCUAACCCCGUAUUAUCAAAUCGCUAUGCUAAACAUUCCACACCAUACAGAUAUCAAUUGCGAAUAACGAAACACUAAACGGACAUUGUAAUCGUGAGAAGUUCAAUGUAUCCACUAUCCAUUCUGAAAGAGAAUAUGUUGUUCUUUUAUAAAAUUCUACGCCGUCACGCAGUAUGACCUGAGAAAACUCGUGGCGAAGCAAAGCGUUUGGGACUUUAAAUAAAGUUGGGUUAAAUGCGUGAGUAUGAAAAUCACUUGGAAAAGAAAAAAAUACGAUGUGUGUUGGCUGUAUCAAUUUCCAGUCGAAUUCAAGGCUGAUCUGAAAAGUAUUUCAAUUUAAGGAAAAUGAAGUCAGUGUAUCUUUGUCAAAUGAAUGUCUAAUCAUCGGUAUCAAAGUCUUUCGCUAUUCGUAUAAAAGAAGAUAUCGCUUAAUAAGGUUUGGAGGAUUUUAAUUGGUUCGUACAAACAAAAUGUAAUGGAAGAGUUCAAAGACUUACGCCAAGGUGUUCUAAAAUCAAUCAAAAGAGGUUCUGUGUGUACUAAAAAAUCUACAAGAAAAUCAAUGGAAUUAUAUCUUCACGCAAAUCCUUUGCUGCUGCUUUUACUGAGUGAGAAUGCAAAAACCAGUUCUAUUUGUCAAACUCUUUGAGAAACAUCGUUCCUGUUGUAUUGGUUCAUCUAUAUAAAUCAAUUGCGCGUCAUGCCAUACUGUCAAUGUCUGCUGUCUUGAUACGAGUUACGAAUGUUACGAUGUCGAAAAUGAAACGAGUAUUGACGUCCAGUUGAUCUAAGAAAAGGCUAGUUUCAAGUCACAAGGUUUCAUCCCUUACAUGGUGGUUAAAGUCAAUCUAUUUACACUUCUCAUCUAAAAUGCCAAUGAGGCGUCUAAUCAAAGUACAUCAUCUAUCGAGCAUAUUGCAACAAAUGAACAAUUUACUGAAGGAUAGCUGUCAAUUAUUGUCCACUUCUGAGCAACAAGAAUGAAAGAAUUUGAAACUGGCUUUAUGCUCAUUGAUUAAGCAAGAAAGAAAUUAUGUUCUAUUGGACAGUCUACAUUGGUCUCUCCGUUAGAGAAGCAUUUUGGAUGCACAAGGAUUGUGGGGAUUUUGGUUACAAAUCGUAUAAAUAUCUGCACUAAAUCUCAGACUCAAGUCAUCGCGUGUGGGGUAACUCAUCGAGGGAGGAUUUCAAGAUUUCAUUCCAUCGGUUCCAGUUUGAAUAGGACAUCGAGAAGGAAUUCAGGAUGUUUCACCGGUUCAGAUAAUUUCAAAUUUAUCCGUAUCGCGUCAAGGGAUUCAGGUUCCAUUUUACCGUCAUUGGGGUUUCUAGGAUUGUUUCUCUCUCGUCUCAGCAUCGGAUUUCUUAGUUUCGGAUUCAUUGUCAUAUUCUGUCGGUUUCACAAAUUUCACUGCACAUCAUCUUUUCGGCGUUUUAAAUCAAAACACAACGUUGGCAUCAUCUGGUUAUUCAUCAAUAAAAAGAAGAAUGGAAAUUGUUCAUGCACAUGAAUGAAUGAAAUUUGAAGUAAUCCAAUGUCAAGCGGUAUAGGGCGGCCAAUCAACUACCAUCAAAAAUUCGAGCUACUGCUGUUCUAGAAAAUGAAUCAAGGUCAAUCGUCAAUCUGUUGCAUUCACACUGAAUAACUAAACCAAUAGAAUUCAAAGAAGGAUAUUCACAGACUACUAAAUUUUUGCGUUAAGACUUCGUAAUUAACCAUCAUGCUACAAAGUCCACAGGUGUUGGCAGCAGAAUGAAGAGGUUUCUCAUGAAAAGCGAAGAACUGCGACAAAUUCAAAAAAUGUAAAAUGUCAUACAGAUUUCAUGAACGGGGUCCAUUGCAGUAAAUUCAAAUUGGCCAGUAGUCAACUUUAUAUUGAGCGAAAGGCAGUCGCAGAUCCAACGCCAUAGUCAAUCAAAUUCAUCACAUUGCGAAUCGAAUAUUGUUCAACAAACCAAUUAUCGACAUGGAGAUGGCUCCAGUCGACCAGUCUGGUGCAUUUAUAUUUUCAAAGUCCAAUUCAACAAAUGGGGCGUCUUCGCCAAUCAAUUAAUGUAUUUACAAUUUGGAGGAAUAAGUUUCCAAGUAUGAAAAUCCACUGUCAACAACAUGAAUCUGCAAUCAUCGUUCUAGUUCCUGACUUGGAGAAGGCUCCAAGUCAGUCGACUAAACGACUAAACGUACUCCGACGUCGUAGAACAGGUUGUUCUUACAAAUCAAACAAAUAGAAAAAUUAGGACCUUAACUGGUUGAAAUAUUAAGGCUGUUCUUCUUCCAAUGUUUUUCUGUUUAUUGGAGUCAUGUCAAAUCAAUUGCGUUACAAGUCUAAAAUUCAAGUGUGGCUUAUGUGUUCCACCCAUGACACAUGCAGAAUUAUGAUUGUGCAUAUAUAACAAGGGCUCAGCGCUAUAUAUUCCAAGAAGUAUAUCAAUGUGAGAAUGAGAUUCACCAAAUCAAACAGAAUUAGACAUGCACGAGGUCGAUCAAUUAUUCAAUAAUCUUGAACAGUCCGAGCUUAAACGAAAGUAAAUUCAAAAUAUCAAAUUCAAUUCAUCCCAUUUCAAGUUGAUCCCAAAGUUUCAGUAAUUAGUAAGAAAAAUUCAGCGACUAAAUGAAGAAAUAUUCCCGUAACAGAGAGAUGCGUAUUCUCAGGCUAAAAUCAUUUCCAUCACCUGAGCAUUCUACAAAAAUUAGCGUCACAAGAAAGAAUUGGCGUUAGGUUUCGGUUUCAAGAGAUUGAAUGAUAAGGUCAGUAAGCGAGCAAUUCAGCUAAAGAAGACAGAUAUGCAUAUACCAACGGUUGAAAUGGUCCAGAGUACAAUUAUGGGUCUGAAAAUUCAAAGAAAAUUCAAAUCAUCAAAUCAAUGGGUUACAUAGCGGAAAACGUAUUAGGAAAAUCAUCAUUACGUUCACCUGUUCGAAACUACUAGCACUUAUCUUUGGAUGGCGUUUCAUAGCGAACAAAUUCAAAUGGGGUUAGAAAUUGGCCAGAUUUUUGGGGAAUUUAUAAUUGCAAAACAUAAAAAUCAAUAGUCAUGCUGUGUGGAGUACAAUGUCGAGCUGAAGUAUUUCCAGGAUUGUAGUACGAAUAACAAGCAUAAGUAGCAGAAAGUCAGACAAAAAUGGUUAUCAAAAAGUACAGACCAUUUGCAAAGAAGUCUAUUAUAAUCAACACUUUGCAACUAUAUGAACAAUAGUGUGGGGGUACAGUCAUCAUGGUGAAUUGUCUACAGCGCUACAUACCGAAGGGUCCCUUGUUCUGAAAAUUUUUCACGCGUCUCCGCAGUUAUUGGCAUCCCAAAAGCUUUCAACACAGAGGCCAGGGCUAUUCUCCAUCCAGUCGUCGUCGUCAGUCAGUCAGUCAGUUGAGUCUCCAUUCUCCAUCCAUUUAGGUGUUAUCUGCAUCCAAUUUGCGUCCAGUCAGAGGGACAAUCUAUUCGAAUCUACUAAUUCAUACGUUUGGUAUCACUAACAUCAUCAUCCUUGUUCCUUGAGAAUAUGAAGUCCGAAGUAAAUAGGAGUCACGUCCGGUACAUUUUCGAUCCAGUAAAAUCAUCCCUAAAGCAGUAAAUCAAGUGCACAUCUACAUAUUUUAAGUGAAAACUCAUCUUUAUGGGGUCUUGAUGAAGAAAGAAUUAUGAAAAUCAUGGCUGUUUAGUGAAAAAAAUCAGAGAUCUGUUAUACUAAUGAAGUUGAAAAAAUCCAACCCACAGAGAGACAAGGUGUUGAAAAGAAGGAGGUUGUUCUUGUGAAGAAAGAAGGUGGAGCAAGGCGUAUUUCUAUGCCGUAUAUCCGUUAUCGGAAUAAGUGUGUAAAUAGCCCGUAGUGUGUGGCGCUACUCUGAAGCCUGGAUUGGCUGUAAUCAGGGAUCUGAUGGGAGUAGGUCCUUCUACGGUGUGGUAGGGAAGAGUUGGACCUGCUGAUGCGGGGGAACAUACGCCCAGGACUCAAGAUGAUGAAAGACGAACAUACUUAAUGUAUGAUGACCCCAACAGGCAGAUUGAUGAUGAGACCCGAUAAUUUAACAAAAAUGUCGUGGUUUCCAAGUUCUUUCUGUUCUGGAAAAGUUAACUCUACAUUCCAUCAUCUCUGCAUCCUGUGUGAGCUUAUUGUUAUGCUGUUACUCCACUUAACUGUGCUGUCCAAAGUUGGGGAUUAGAAGAUAAAAAGUUUGCACUUGGUCAUCCCACACCCACCACCACCUACAGGCCACUACCCUUAAAGUAUACGUGUGGUUAAAAAAAUCAAAUUUAAGAAAGUUAACAACUGUUUUAUUGAACGUAAGCAAAGUUAAAGUUAAAUCUCACAUAUAUCUAAACUUAAAAAAUAAUUAUUGACGUGUCUCAUAUUUAUAUGAACGGUUCUUAUUAAUAUAUUCAAAAGUAUACUACGGAGAACAAUAUGUUUCUACCUUCUUGUGUGCCUAGAGAUUUAAAAACUUAAAAAAUAGAGAAAGCCGUCCACGCCAACAAUUGGUUCGGAUCGGAUCAAGUUAAUUUUGCUAA